This is a non-coding RNA of Caenorhabditis elegans, 115 nucleotides long. The record is from Ensembl. Lineage: Eukaryota; Metazoa; Nematoda; Chromadorea; Rhabditida; Rhabditidae.
UCCAAUUUGAACUUUCUUGUCAUCUUGAACUAUAUAAAUGAACAGAACAUUUAUGAAAAAUGAACAUGCUCCGCCGACUUUUGGAAUGUAGUGAUGAGCCCAGUUGAUAUACAUU